This 835-nucleotide long non-coding RNA is filed under the name Heterocephalus glaber (naked mole-rat). Its description in RNAcentral is "lncRNA (ENSHGLG00000044592.1)". The record is from RNAcentral. Lineage: Eukaryota; Metazoa; Chordata; Mammalia; Rodentia; Bathyergidae.
GUGAACCCUGAAAUGUAGUCUCCUCUUAAAGUUAUCAGCAGGAAUCAGGGUAGGAUUCCUUCUGGGAUUCUCCAUUCUCCAUUCUCCAGGGCUUAUUCUUGAGCUAACUGUAAUUUUGCAUCUUGAGCAUGAUGACGUUGUGUGUGUUGCUAAGAUGCCUGGAUCUCCCACUCACCAAAAUCUUCUUCAAUCAGACUCUCUUUCUUGGAUUUCAUGGGUGGAAAGACCCUGGCCAGCUCCCUGGGGUGGUUCAUCACACCCAAGUCUUUCCUGAUGAACUUGCCUCAAGUCUUUGAAGACACAUUUAACACAUCACAUCACCCUUGUUAUACUGUGCUAAUGCUUGACUGCUGAGAAAUCUUGAUGCUGGAUGAUCUCACAUUCUACUUUCUUCAAGAAUCUUCACAAACUUAAACAAUUGGGAAUGGGUGUGUGUGUGUGUGUGUGUGUGUGUGUGUGUGUGUGUGUGUCUAUGUAUGUCCUUUCUUCCUCUGGCAAUCAUGAGCCUAUUUCCCAGAGCCCAUUGAAGUACCUACUACAUUCCCAUAGUAACUAUAUUUCCAGAAUGUUCCUGGUCCAAAUCAGAUUUGAGAUUGCCUCUGGUUCAUCCCUACACGGCUCCUGCCUUUGGUAGAGGUGCUCUGGGCAAUAUGAUGCUCAACAAAUAUUAUCUCCCUAUGCCUAAAGCCCAAAAUCACCACUGCCAUUCUAAGUUGUCAAUAUAACAUGUAAGAAACAUUCAUUAAAUGUUGUAAGUUGAAAGUGUUUAUUUACCUCCACUGUGUGCCAAAUGCCACAAAAUUUAUAGUAUGGAGAAAAAAUACAUAAAUCCUUG